UGGGGAAUAUUGCACAAUGGGCGAAAGCCUGAUGCAGCGACGCCGCGUGAGGGAUGACGGCCUUCGGGUUGUAAACCUCUUUCAGCAGGGACGAAGCGCAAGUGACGGUACCUGCAGAAGAAGCACCGGCUAACUACGUGCCAGCAGCCGCGGUAAUACGUAGGGUGCAAGCGUUGUCCGGAAUUACUGGGCGUAAAGAGUUCGUAGGCGGUUUGUCGCGUCGUUUGUGAAAACCAGCAGCUCAACUGCUGGCUUGCAGGCGAUACGGGCAGACUUGAGUACUGCAGGGGAGACUGGAAUUCCUGGUGUAGCGGUGAAAUGCGCAGAUAUCAGGAGGAACACCGGUGGCGAAGGCGGGUCUCUGGGCAGUAACUGACGCUGAGGAACGAAAGCGUGGGUAGCGAACAGGAUUAGAUACCCUGGUAGUCCACGCCGUAAACGGUGGGCGCUAGGUGUGGGUUCCUUCCACGGAAUCCGUGCCGUAGCUAACGCAUUAAGCGCCCCGCCUGGGGAGUACGGCCGCAAGGCU
This 529-nucleotide ribosomal RNA is filed under the name uncultured bacterium. Its description in RNAcentral is "partial 16S ribosomal RNA". It matches the Rfam family "Bacterial small subunit ribosomal RNA", at positions 355 to 895 of the family's 1533-position model. The record is from RNAcentral.